RNAcentral lists this transfer RNA (64 nucleotides) under Callispa bowringii. RNAcentral describes it as "tRNA-Asn". The record is from RNAcentral. Lineage: Eukaryota; Metazoa; Arthropoda; Insecta; Coleoptera; Chrysomelidae.
UUUUAAUUGAAACCAAAAAGAGGUAAAUCACUGUUAAUGAUUUUAAUGAUAAUCUCCAAUUAAA